UUCUUACAGAUAAAAUUUUAAGUAUCUUCUGCUCAAUGAAUUUAAAUAGCUGCAUUUUGCACUAAGGUAGCAUAAUAAAUUGUUUUUUGAUUGAAAACUAGAAUGAAGGAAGGAAUGGAGAAAAUUUUUCUUGAUAUUGAUAAAUUGAAUUUAAAUUUUUAGUAAAAAUGCUAAAAUUAAAUUUAGGGACAAUAAGACCCUAUGAAGCUUUAUAUUUUGGUAAUUGGAGAUUUUAUUAUGUUGGGGCAACAUCCUAAGAGUAAAGUUUAGGAAGAUGUUAAAUUUAUAAGUUAUUAUAUAGAGCCAUAAUUUAUGAUUAUUUGAAAAAGUUACUCUAGGGAUAACAGCAUAAUUUAAAUUGGAAAGUUCAAAUUGAUAAUUUAGUUUAUGACCUCGAUGUUGAAUUAAUAUAACUUUUUGGUGAAGGAAUUUUAGGAGUUAGUCUGUUCGACUAUUUAUAUAUUACA
Molecule: ribosomal RNA, 467 nt
Filed under: Stylocellus sp. Java 8
Lineage: Eukaryota; Metazoa; Arthropoda; Arachnida; Opiliones; Stylocellidae
Description: partial 16S ribosomal RNA
Source: RNAcentral